RNAcentral lists this transfer RNA (69 nucleotides) under Plagiodontia aedium (Hispaniolan hutia). Its description in RNAcentral is "tRNA-Ala". It matches the Rfam family "tRNA". Rfam says of the family: Transfer RNA (tRNA) molecules are approximately 80 nucleotides in length. Their secondary structure includes four short double-helical elements and three loops (D, anti-codon, and T loops). Further hydrogen bonds mediate the characteristic L-shaped molecular structure. tRNAs have two regions of fundamental functional importance: the anti-codon, which is responsible for specific mRNA codon recognition, and the 3' end, to which the tRNAs corresponding amino acid is attached (by aminoacyl-tRNA synthetases). tRNAs cope with the degeneracy of the genetic code in two manners: having more than one tRNA (with a specific anti-codon) for a particular amino acid; and 'wobble' base-pairing, i.e. permitting non-standard base-pairing at the 3rd anti-codon position. Lineage: Eukaryota; Metazoa; Chordata; Mammalia; Rodentia; Capromyidae. The record is from RNAcentral.
AAGGGUUUAGCUUAAUUAAAGUGCCUGUUUUGCGUUCAGGUGAUGUAGGUUUAUAUUCCUACAAUCUUU